CCUACGGGAGGCUGCAGUGGGGAAUAUUGCACAAUGGGGGAAACCCUGAUGCAGCGACGCCGCGUGAGUGAAGAAGCGCCUCGGCGCGUAAAGCUCUGUCAGCAGGAACGACGAUGACGGUAGCCGAGGAGGAAGCCACGGCUAACUACGUGCCAGCAGCCGCGGUAAUACGUAGGUGGCAAGCGUUGUCCGGAAUUACUGGGUGUAAAGGGAGCGUAGGUGGGAAAGCAAGUUGAAUGUUUAAGGUACGGGCUCAACCUGUACAAGCGUUCAAAACUGUUUUUCUUGAGUGGAGUAGAGGUAAGCGGAAUUCCUAGUGUAGCGGUGAAAUGCGUAAAUAUUAGGAGGAACACCAGUGGCGAAGGCGGCUUACUGGGCUUUAACUGACGCUGAGGCUCGAAAGCGUGGGUAGCAAACAGGAUUAGAUACCCCUGUAGUC
RNAcentral lists this ribosomal RNA (439 nucleotides) under uncultured bacterium. Its description in RNAcentral is "partial 16S ribosomal RNA". It matches the Rfam family "Bacterial small subunit ribosomal RNA", at positions 338 to 795 of the family's 1533-position model. The record is from RNAcentral.